CAACUUUGUAACUGCGACCAAGAGGGGUGAGGGGGAUGGAGUAAAGGGAUGGAGGAGUGACCAAGAGGGGUGAGGGGUAUGGAAGCAACCAGUUGGAGGAGCAGGAGUGCAGCUCAGGAGAAGAGCAGAGGGCAAAGCCUGCCUCAGUGCUGUUGCCUUGGCACACAAGCUGCUGAUCACAAGAAGGAAUGGCUCGAGUGUCAAGACCAGCUCAGAAAUGAGCUUCCAGUCCACGCUGGACAGGUUGAACACUCCCAAGCUACAGUUCCUCGCUAGGAUGUGGAUGACCACCUCUUGUUCCUGCAGGUGCUGGAGCAAGAGACAGGUGGAGCUCCACUGCAUCUCAACAUCUCUAGGGAUGAUGUGUCCAGGAACUCAUGUAUAAGCCUACAGAGACUGGAAAGAAACUUGAAAAACAAUUCAGCUAAGUUUGACAGUUCAACGGGAGAGUUAAGCACAUGCAAUUGAACAUUUUUAUAAAGUCAUUUUAUUGUUUGAAUAUA
Hemicordylus capensis (graceful crag lizard) is the source of this 503-nucleotide long non-coding RNA. RefSeq lists it as uncharacterized. Lineage: Eukaryota; Metazoa; Chordata; Lepidosauria; Squamata; Cordylidae. The transcript is spliced from 3 exons. The record is from RefSeq and is a predicted model, not a curated record.